RNAcentral lists this long non-coding RNA (280 nucleotides) under Oryza sativa aus subgroup. RNAcentral describes it as "lncRNA OsNaBo_06g0020720". The record is from RNAcentral. Lineage: Eukaryota; Viridiplantae; Streptophyta; Magnoliopsida; Poales; Poaceae.
GUGGUUGCCGGGCGAAAGCUUAGUCUUGGCUCUUUUGGGACCUUGACGGACGGCAGUGGCGGUUUUCCGUCGCUUCUCUCCUUGGAGACAUUGUUUAGGCAUCCCUUGCCGAAACCACUAGAGCAAUUGUGGCGGUCGGUCACGCUUAACGGCGGCCGGUCCGGUUCUAGCCUUCUCCUGGACAAGUAUGUUGGCACUGCUGGUGUGUGGGUGGUGGUAUAUUUUUUUCCUUUUUCCUCGUUACAACCUUCCAGGAUUGUAAUCUUGUAAUUUUUUCCUG